RNAcentral lists this small RNA (596 nucleotides) under Pan troglodytes (chimpanzee). Its description in RNAcentral is "retained intron". The record is from RNAcentral. Lineage: Eukaryota; Metazoa; Chordata; Mammalia; Primates; Hominidae.
AAUUAAGGCCUGUGGGACUCUUCCUUUCCUAGAUGAAAACCUUCUAACUGUUGCUAAUUUUUCCGUAGGUUGCCCAUCCUCCUGGAUAUCCUUUGUUCACGCUGGUGGCUAAACUGGCAAUUACACUGUUUCCUUUUGGUUCAAUUGCCUACCGCGUCAAUCUUCUUUGUGGCUUAUUUGGAGCAGUAGCUGCAUCAUUACUUUUUUUCACCGUUUUCAGGCUUUCUGGCUCAUCUGCUGGAGGAAUCCUUGCUGCGGGGGUGUUUUCAUUUUCUCGUCUAACAUGGCAGUGGUCCAUUGCAGCAGAGGUUUUUAGCUUAAACAAUCUCUUUGUGGGGCUGCUUAUGGCUCUUACUGUACAUUUUGAGGAAGCAGCAACUGCUAAGGAGAGAUCAAAGAUAGCUAAAAUUGGUGCUUUCUGCUGUGGCCUUAGUUUAUGUAACCAGCACACAAUAAUACUCUAUGUUUUGUGCAUAAUACCUUGGAUUCUCUUUCAACUUUUAAAAAAGAAGGAACUCUCCCUGGGCUCUUUGUUGAAGUUGAGCCUGUACUUCUCUGCUGGUUUGCUGCCCUAUGUCCACCUUCCCAUCUCAUCU